RNAcentral lists this ribosomal RNA (254 nucleotides) under uncultured bacterium. RNAcentral describes it as "partial 16S ribosomal RNA". It matches the Rfam family "Bacterial small subunit ribosomal RNA", at positions 524 to 776 of the family's 1533-position model. The record is from RNAcentral.
UACGUAGGGGGCAAGCGUUGUCCGGAUUUAUUGGGCGUAAAGAGCUCGUAGGUGGUUCGGUAAGUCGGGUGUUAAACCCCCAGGCUCAACCUGGGGACGCCACUCGAUACUGCUGUGACUUGAGUCCGGUAGGGGAGCGUGGAAUUCCUGGUGUAGCGGUGAAAUGCGCAGAUAUCAGGAGGAACACCAGCGGCGAAGGCGGCGCUCUGGGCCGGUACUGACACUGAGAAGCGAAAGCGUGGGUAGCAAACAGG